RNAcentral lists this ribosomal RNA (405 nucleotides) under uncultured bacterium. RNAcentral's name for it is "bacterial SSU rRNA". It matches the Rfam family "Bacterial small subunit ribosomal RNA", at positions 355 to 774 of the family's 1533-position model. The record is from RNAcentral.
UGGGGAAUCUUGCGCAAUGGGCGAAAGCCUGACGCAGCAACGCCGCGUGUGUGAAGAAGGCCCUUGGGUCGUAAAGCACUGUCGGAAGGGAAGAAAAAAAUGACGGUACCUUCCAAGGAAGCACCGGCUAACUCCGUGCCAGCAGCCGCGGUAAUACGGAGGGUGCAAGCGUUGUUCGGAAUCAUUGGGCGUAAAGCGCGCGCAGGCGGUCGAUCAAGUCUGAUGUGAAAUCCCAGGGCUCAACCUUGGGCGUGCAUUGGAAACUGGUCGACUGGAGUUUGGGAGAGGUUAGUGGAAUUCCAGGUGUAGGGGUGAAAUCCGUAGAGAUCUGGAGGAACACCGGUGGCGAAGGCGACUGACUGGACCAAUACUGACGCUGAGGCGCGAAAGCGUGGGGAGCAAACA